Lutra lutra (Eurasian river otter) is the source of this 2992-nucleotide long non-coding RNA. RefSeq lists it as uncharacterized. The record is from RefSeq and is a predicted model, not a curated record. The transcript is spliced from 3 exons. Lineage: Eukaryota; Metazoa; Chordata; Mammalia; Carnivora; Mustelidae.
CUGUUCCCUCUGCCUGGAAGGCAGGCCCCCACGUGUCCUCUUGCUGCUGUUCUUCCAUCUACCAAAUCACCUGCUCACUCAGGCCCUUCUGGUCGUUUCACCUAAAAUGGCAUCUCUCCCAGAGCUCCCUAGCCCGUUUCCUUUCUAACCUGAUCGAGAUUCUUUUUAUUUGCGUUGUCUUUUUCCCCUAGAACGUCAGCUCUAGGCCAGGGAUUCUUUUAUCUCUUGCAUCUCUUUCUUCAAGAACGGUGCCGGGCACAUAGUAGGGACAUUUGAAGUCCGUAUCGAAAAAAUGAUGUCACUUCCUUCUAUAAGUGAAGCACAUUUCUAGGAGACAAACCUUGGGCUCAUCGGGGUGAAAUCGCUUGCCCAAGAUCACACGGCGACGAGGACCUGUUUCAGACGCCCGGGCUCAUAAACACUUCACCACAAUACAGUCUUCCUCUGAUAAGCAGCCGCUGAGCUCCGUGUAAGGAAACAGUUUCUCACAUCAGCCUUUCUUCUCGGGGAGCCAGACCGCAAGGCUUCAGGUGGCUUUCCUGAGUUGCAAGACGGAGAUCACAGAGAAGCAGGCAGAGAGAGAGGAGGAAGCAGGCCUGAGCUGACAGCACAGGCUUUAACCCACUGAGCCACCCAGGUGCCCCAGCAUUAUCUGUUACUUAUAGCUGAAGGCUUCCUGAUACACCUGCCUACAUCCAUCAAUAUGAACACCAAAGAAUCUCAGCUGGUAGUCACAGCCCUGGCAAAUAAGACCGUGGGAUCUGGAUCGGAGUGUCUGGGAUCUGAGACACUGAGUAAAGGAAGUCUCCACAGGAGGCGGCAGCUUUGGAAUUUCCCACAGCCACUCCUCCAACAAGCUCUGUAAAGCUUCAGUACUUUGAUUGAAUUAGAUGCAAGCAGAAUGGGAAGUAAGCCACUGUUUGUGAAAUGUUUAUGAAAACAACUUGAAAAUCUACAUUCCUAAAACAGUUUUCUGUAGGACAGUGUUUCCUAAUCUCUUCCCCACUGAAAACCCCUUUUAAUGUGAUUUCCCCCAUAGAAUCCCUGCUUUGAAUAGAAGCAAACAGACACAUUUGUUAACUAACAAUGAAUUUAUCUUCCCAAAAGGAAAUCAAGGAAUCAAGAUCCCCCCCCAACCCCCAAAACUGAAAGUCAUCCUUGCGCCUUUGAGUAAACAAUUACUUUUAAGCUUCUUGAAACGCUGAAAGCAGCUGGAGGAAUUCUCCCCUGCCCCCUCGGACUGUGGUUAUUACUUUCUGAAAUUGCUAAGCUUCUAGGUUUGACACUAGCAUUCCACUUGGCACCAGGCACACAGCACAAAAUUGACACAAGUCUGUGACUUGUAGGGUGACUUGUAGGUCUUUUGCUAUCAGUUUAUCCUGGUGCCUGGUAAUGAGUGCUCCACUGUGGGAGUUACUCCUGCUCCAAGUUCUCCCCGUCUACGCGUCCUGCUGGGUGGUGAGAUUUUUGUCUGCCAAGCAGGCAGAGGCCAGACUUUCGCCCCCGUUUUCUGUUAAUGUGAUACCUCGAAGUUCAAAAAGCAAACUGGAAUAUCUGAUGCCUUUUACCUAAGGAGUUGUCCUUUGAGAUGUAGAAUAAGUCACUUAUCCCCCUAAAUGAACCUCUUUCCCAGUACAAUGUUGUUACUUUAGGAUGGGGAAAAAAUUCUCAAGUAAGAACGUAAUAAAGCAGUAAGCAACAUCAUUUUCUCAAAGGAAAAAAGUAUUUUUUUUUUAUUAUCUUCAUAACUUGCCAUAGCACUUUUUUGGGGGAAAGAUUAGAAUAAAUAGGAGCUUGGAAAUCUGACCUUGGCUGGUGUAAGGACAGAGAGAAUCUGGUAGUUCUUAAUUUCUCGUUUAGGUUCUCAGUGUUCCAGGAAGCAGUUUGCUCAAGUUUCUUUCCUCCAUCGCUCUCCUGAAUGCCCGGCUUCAGUGCCUGGGCACUGCUGCCAAGGACCCUGCUGGUGCGUUCAGCUGCCAUUCAAGGAAGCAGCCUCCACACGGCCUCGCGCUCGGAAGUCUGUCUUACAGCACAAAACAGGUGGAAGGACAUUCUGCCUUUGGAGUUCUACUGGCAUGUCUUGCUACUUCUCUUGCUCAAUGCCAAGAAUGACAAAAAUCUUUUGUGUGUGUUUGGGGGUGGGAAAGACCAGAUAGUACUGUGAAUAGCAGUUAACUUGCUGUUUGGGCAAGAUUCCCAGGGCAGCUGUUGUAACUCAGGCGGCAAUAACUCUAACACUCAGCUCUGUUGCUAGGAUGGAUUGAGAGAAACUUUGGACAAAUAAUUUUAAAAAUUAUAAUCCCAUGAUAUGUUGAAUAUAUCACUGAUCAACUCAAAAGCUGAAUAUUUGUUAGUAUCAUAUUGAGGAAGUACAAUGAGCAUGUUAAAUGACUAGCGCUGUGUUUGCACUUCCAUUUCCAUUCUAAAUAUUUUCUGCCUUCAGUGAAGUCAUUAGCAUCUGUUGGUAAAAAUUUGAACUGACCCAAGAUUUGCAAUCUGUAGCUACAACUGAGACAGGAUCACCUUUUUUACAUGUUCACAAUCUUAUUUACACUAACAAUGGAAUUGUAAGUGAAUUUAUAUUCACAAUGGAAUUUUAAGUUCUAACUUGUGAAUUUGCCAAUUGUUCGUUCUUAGCUAAAGACUUAAACCUACAUUUAAUUUUUAGUCUUGAUGCAUGCAUGUGCAUGCAUAUACAUAAAUGUUCUUUUAUUUUUUGUGUAAGGAAAAAGACUGUAUUAGUAUUCAAACGGUAGAUAUUUACACUAAAUUAAAUUUACACUUUAGUGUAAGAUAAAAAUGUGACUAACUGAAACAAAGUAUUUCUGGAAAAUGAAUUCUCAACAUAAAGUUACGUGAAUAUCAACAUGGUCAAGUUAAAGCUCCUCAGGAUUCCCUAGACCUUAUGAAUGAGCACCAGUUUUAAAAAUAAUUGCAUGGUGGGGUGCCUGGGUGGCUCAGUCGGCUCAGUCUUGAGCGUCUGACUCUAGAU